This 1200-nucleotide long non-coding RNA is filed under the name Sparus aurata (gilthead seabream). Its description in RNAcentral is "lncRNA (ENSSAUG00010021305.1)". Lineage: Eukaryota; Metazoa; Chordata; Actinopteri; Spariformes; Sparidae. The record is from RNAcentral.
AUGAGUCCUCCCAAGGGCCUGAGCGGCAGAGGCUGUGAGAGAUUGAGCAGAGGGCUGGUGGAUGGCUGGCCGGAGAUAGUAGAGUCCACUUUAUCCCUCUAUCUACUAUCUGCUGCACAGGAACAAGGUUUCAGAGCGAUGAUAACUUUUCGAGAGGAUGAGAGGAUGCACCAUCAAAACUGCAGUUCAGGCCACGUCCUUGCACAUCCAGCCUGCCUCUCUGCCCCCUAUCCACCUGCUCCUCUCUCCCUGCUGCCUUACCUGUACUCACCUGUGUCUGUCUGUGCAGGUGAGUGAGAGCCAAGCCCCCUUUGGGACCUGCUGAUUAGGGUAUUAAAAAUAAAUGGGCUCAGUUUAGGGGGGGUUUGGUGGCACGGUGGUAUAUAUUUCUGUUAAUUUUUCUGCCCCCCCUCCUCCCUCUCUCUCUCCUAUGUAGUGACUGAUCUGGCAGAAUAUGAUAGCAUGGGCUGUCACGGCAAUAAUUAGGCCUAUUUUCCGUGAGGUCAUCUUACAGGGACGCUGGGCGGCUGUGGUUCACACACAGGGUGCUCUGUGCUGCUCCUGCCCCAGAGCCCCCAGGAUAUGAUCGUCCACACAGGGCAACAAAGAAUCACUCCGCAGCAAAUGAACGAAACAUAAAACACCUACAAUCUGAUAUGGACUGUGGUUCCCAACGCUUUAUACGCUGGGAGAGUUUGCCUCGCUGGGCUUUCACAGCUCCGAAUCAAGCAGGCUUUUAUCAAACUGUGUCCCGUCUAAAAUAUUAAACAAGAUCUGAAGGAGGAUUAAGUUGUCAAGGGAAUUACCUGUGAUGGAUUUCAAAGGGAGAGCCCCAUUUCUGUUUGUUUUCUGCACCAAGGUCGAGUAAUUGAUGUGAAAACUUUAAGUCUAAAUAAAACCGUCAAGUGUGAGGUAGACAUGAGGGUAUUUGGUGCUGCUAGCAGAAAGCCAACAGUGCCAAGUCAGAGCGCAACAUAUUUCAGCUCCAUUCAGAACACUCCCUGGUUGGGUCAACAGCUGCAGGCUAGAAUUAGAAAUCAAUUAUUCAGCUUCGACAAGCUCAUUAAGUCUCUGAAUAGGAUUUUCUGUUCUGAGUCUGCCUGCUCAUUUCUCCUAGCUUGCAGUUUCUAAUUAGUAUUUCUUUUCUCUUUAAAGUUUGAUGGGAGUUUGGGUAAAAAAAAAAAAAAAACGUGGGCACUG